Molecule: ribosomal RNA, 253 nt
Filed under: uncultured bacterium
Lineage: Bacteria
Description: partial 16S ribosomal RNA
Rfam family: Bacterial small subunit ribosomal RNA
Source: RNAcentral
UACGUAGGGUGCAAGCGUUGUCCGGAAUUAUUGGGCGUAAAGCGUGCGCAGGCGGUUCGUUAAGUUCGAUGUGAAAGCCCCGGGCUCAACCUGGGAAUUGCAUUGGAAACUGGCGGGCUUGAGUGUGGCAGAGGGGGGUGGAAUUCCACGUGUAGCAGUGAAAUGCGUAGAGAUGUGGAGGAACACCGAUGGCGAAGGCAGCCCCCUGGGCUAACACUGACGCUCAGGCACGAAAGCGUGGGGAGCAAACAGG